CACGGAGUUAGCCGGUGCUUCUUCCGCGAGUAACGUCAAUUGAUGAACGUAUUAAGCUCACCACCUUCCUCCUCGCUGAAAGUGCUUUACAACCCGAAGGCCUUCUUCACACACGCGGCAUGGCUGCAUCAGGCUUGCGCCCAUUGUGCAAUAUUCCCCA
RNAcentral lists this ribosomal RNA (160 nucleotides) under uncultured bacterium. RNAcentral's name for it is "partial 16S ribosomal RNA". The record is from RNAcentral.